AUUAGAGUUUGAUCCUGGCUCAGAUUGAACGCUGGCGGUAUGCUUUACACAUGCAAGUCGAACGGGCUUUGGGGCUUGCUCCAAAGUUAGUGGCGAACGGGUGAGUAACAUAUCGGAACAUGUCCGGAAGUGGGGGAUAACGUACCGAAAGGUACGCUAAUACCGCAUAUGCCCCGAGGGGGAAAGGGGGGGAUCGCAAGACCUCUCGCUUUCGGAGUGGCCGAUAUCGGAUUAGCUAGAUGGCGGGGUAAAGGCCCACCAUGGCGACGAUCCGUAGCUGGUCUGAGAGGACGACCAGCCACACUGGAACUGAGACACGGUCCAGACUCCUACGGGAGGCAGCAGUGGGGAAUUUUGGACAAUGGGCGCAAGCCUGAUCCAGCCAUACCGCGUGAGUGAAGAAGGCCUUCGGGUUGUAAAGCUCUUUCGGACAGAAAGAAAUCGUGCGGAAUAACACUCUGUAUGGAUGACGGUACUGUAAGAAGAAGCACCGGCUAACUACGUGCCAGCAGCCGCGGUAAUACGUAGGGUGCGAGCGUUAAUCGGAAUUACUGGGCGUAAAGCGUGCGCAGGCGGUUUUGUAAGACAGACGUGAAAUCCCCGGGCUUAACCUGGGAACUGCGUUUGUGACUGCAAGGCUAGAGUGUAGCAGAGGGGGGUGGAAUUCCACGUGUAGCAGUGAAAUGCGUAGAUAUGUGGAGGAAUACCGAUGGCGAAGGCAGCCCCCUGGGCUAACACUGACGCUCAUGCACGAAAGCGUGGGGAGCAAACAGGAUUAGAUACCCUGGUAGUCCACGCCCUAAACGAUGUCAACUAGGUGUUGGGGAAGGAGACUUCUUUAGUACCGCAGCUAACGCGCUAAGUUGACCGCCUGGGGAGUACGGUCGCAAGAUUAAAACUCAAAGGAAUUGACGGGGACCCGCACAAGCGGUGGGAUUAUGUGGAUUAAUUCGAUGCAACGCGAAAAACCUUACCUACCCUUUGACAUGCCAGGAAGAUUCCAGAGAUGGGGAUUUGUGCCCGCAAGGGAACC
RNAcentral lists this ribosomal RNA (1033 nucleotides) under uncultured bacterium. RNAcentral's name for it is "bacterial SSU rRNA". It matches the Rfam family "Bacterial small subunit ribosomal RNA", at positions 1 to 1028 of the family's 1533-position model. The record is from RNAcentral.